GACGAACGCUGGCGGCGUGGAUUAGGCAUGCAAGUCGAACGGUAUCAUCCUUUCGGGGGUGAGAGAGUGGCGAACUGGUGAGUAACACGUAGGUUAUCUACCCUCAAGACGGGGACAACCCAGGGAAACUUGGGCUAAUACCGGAUGUGAGCAACUUUUAGUUGUUUGAAAGGUGGCGUAAGCUGUCGCUUGGGGAUGAGCCUGCGUCCUAUUAGUUAGUUGGUGAGGUAACGGCUCACCUAGGCAAUGAUAGGUAGGCGGCCUUAACGGGUGGUCGCCCACACUGGGAUUGAGAUGCGGCCCAGACUCCUACGGGAGGCAGCAGUCGAGAAUAGUCUACAAUGGUCGGAAGGCUGAUAGUGCGACGCCGCGUGAACGAUGAAUCCCUUCGGGUGUAAAGUUCUUUUAUAUGUGAGCAGUGCUUCUUAUAUUAACAGUAUGGGGAGAGAGAUAUUAGCAUAUGAAUAAGCAACGGCUAACUCCGUGCCAGCAGCCGGGU
Molecule: ribosomal RNA, 499 nt
Filed under: uncultured bacterium
Lineage: Bacteria
Description: bacterial SSU rRNA
Rfam family: Bacterial small subunit ribosomal RNA
Source: RNAcentral